Molecule: ribosomal RNA, 253 nt
Filed under: uncultured bacterium
Lineage: Bacteria
Description: partial 16S ribosomal RNA
Rfam family: Bacterial small subunit ribosomal RNA
Source: RNAcentral
UACGUAGGGUGCGAGCGUUAAUCGGAAUUACUGGGCGUAAAGCGUGCGCAGGCGGUUUUUUAAGUCAGAUGUGAAAUCCCCCGGCUUACCCGGGGAACUGCAUCCCAUACUGCUGGACUUGAGUGCGGGAGAGGAUGGAGGAAUUCCUGGUGUAGCGGUGAAAUGCGUAGAUAUCAGGAGGAACACCUGUGGCGAAGGCGUCCAUCUGGCCCGUUACUGACGCUGAUGCGCGAAAGCUAGGGGAGCAAACGGG